RNAcentral lists this unclassified non-coding RNA (104 nucleotides) under Chryseobacterium formosense. RNAcentral's name for it is "Flavo-1 RNA". The record is from RNAcentral. Lineage: Bacteria; Pseudomonadati; Bacteroidota; Flavobacteriia; Flavobacteriales; Weeksellaceae.
UCGUAGCCCGACUUGAGCGGAAAUCCUUUUUUGCUUGUACACUAGUUCUAUUUCUUCUAAAAUUUCCAGCAAAAAAGAUUGGGAGCCCUUCUACAAGCUCAGGA